Molecule: transfer RNA, 85 nt
Filed under: Felis catus (domestic cat)
Lineage: Eukaryota; Metazoa; Chordata; Mammalia; Carnivora; Felidae
Also listed under: 1 other name
Rfam family: tRNA
About the family: Transfer RNA (tRNA) molecules are approximately 80 nucleotides in length.
Source: Rfam by way of RNAcentral
GCCUGAGUGGCUCAGUCGGUUAAGCGCCCAACUUCAGCUCAGGUCCUAAUCUCAAGACUCAUGGGUUCAAGCCCCAUGUCAGGCU